UACGUAGGGUGCGAGCGUUGUCCGGAAUUAUUGGGCGUAAAGGGCUCGUAGGCGGUUUGUCGCGUCGGGAGUGAAAACACACAGCUUAACUGUGUGCUUGCUUCCGAUACGGGCAGACUAGAGGUAUGCAGGGGAGAACGGAAUUCCUGGUGUAGCGGUGAAAUGCGCAGAUAUCAGGAGGAACACCGGUGGCGAAGGCGGUUCUCUGGGCAUUACCUGACGCUGAGGAGCGAAAGUGUGGGGAGCGAACAGG
This 253-nucleotide ribosomal RNA is filed under the name uncultured bacterium. Its description in RNAcentral is "partial 16S ribosomal RNA". It matches the Rfam family "Bacterial small subunit ribosomal RNA", at positions 524 to 776 of the family's 1533-position model. The record is from RNAcentral.